AUGACUAGGGAUAACCUUAGGAAGAGACACAUCAUCAAACCCGAUUGUGUUUACUGCUUGGAACAAGAGUCUUGUUCUCACCUAUUUUUUGAAUGUAUAGUUGCUAAACAUCUCUGGCACAUUGAGGAAUAUUUCUCUAGUCAGAUUGGCUCAUCCUUCGAAUCUGUCGCCAGAUUCUGGAUUGCUACCAAAAAGUGCUCAGUUUUAAACACUGUUAGCUCAGCUGUCCUUUGGUGCCUCUGGAAAUAUAGAAAUGCUAUGAUUUUCAGUAACACCUCCUGGAUUUCCAUUCCGCAGGCCUUGAGGUUGAUCAGGAACAUGGAUUCUCUCCUCCGGAUCAGACAAGGACAAGUUGAUGAGCUUCGUGGAAACCCUAACAAGAUCCCUCCAGAAACCGUGGGCGAUCACUUGUGGCUGAACAAGGCUUGA
RNAcentral lists this ribosomal RNA (429 nucleotides) under Triticum aestivum (bread wheat). Its description in RNAcentral is "partial small subunit ribosomal RNA". The record is from RNAcentral. Lineage: Eukaryota; Viridiplantae; Streptophyta; Magnoliopsida; Poales; Poaceae.